This 72-nucleotide transfer RNA is filed under the name Chloroflexota bacterium. Its description in RNAcentral is "Chloroflexi bacterium tRNA-Arg". It matches the Rfam family "tRNA". Rfam says of the family: Transfer RNA (tRNA) molecules are approximately 80 nucleotides in length. Their secondary structure includes four short double-helical elements and three loops (D, anti-codon, and T loops). The record is from RNAcentral. Lineage: Bacteria; Bacillati; Chloroflexota.
CCCCCCAUAGCUCAGGGGAAAGAGCAGUGGUUUCCUAAACCAUGCGCGCAGGUUCGAAUCCUGCUGGGGGGA